RNAcentral lists this ribosomal RNA (481 nucleotides) under uncultured bacterium. RNAcentral's name for it is "partial 16S ribosomal RNA". It matches the Rfam family "Bacterial small subunit ribosomal RNA", at positions 28 to 507 of the family's 1533-position model. The record is from RNAcentral.
GAUGAACGCUGGCGGCGUGCCUAACACAUGCAAGUCGAACGGAGAUUCCGGACGGAAGUUUUCGGAUGGAAGACUGUAAUUCUUAGUGGCGGACGGGUGAGUAACGCGUGGGCAACCUGCCCUAUACAGGGGGAUAGCAGCUGGAAACGGCUGGUAAGACCGCAUAAGUCGGCGAGACCGCAUGGUUUUGCCGGGUAAUGAGCAAUCAGGUAUAGGAUGGGCCCGCGUCCGAUUAGCCAGUUGGCAGGGUAAAAGCCUACCAAAGCAACGCUCGGUAGACGGACUGAGAGGGCGGACGGCCACAUUGGGACUGGGAAGCGGCCCAGACUCCUACGGGAGGCGGCAGUGGGGGAUAUUGCACAAUGGAGGAAACUCUGAUGCAGCGACGCCGCGUGAGUGAAGAAGUAUUUCGGUAUGUAAAGCUCUAUCAGCAGGGAAGAUGAUGACGGUACCUGACUAAGAAGCCCCGGCUAACUACGUG